This 76-nucleotide transfer RNA is filed under the name Acinetobacter baumannii. RNAcentral's name for it is "tRNA-Gly". It matches the Rfam family "tRNA". From Rfam's summary of the family: Transfer RNA (tRNA) molecules are approximately 80 nucleotides in length. Their secondary structure includes four short double-helical elements and three loops (D, anti-codon, and T loops). The record is from RNAcentral. Lineage: Bacteria; Pseudomonadati; Pseudomonadota; Gammaproteobacteria; Moraxellales; Moraxellaceae.
GCUGGAAUAGCUCAGUUGGUAGAGCAUAACCUUGCCAAGGUUGGGGUCGCGAGUUCGAGUCUCGUUUCCCGCUCCA